CCUACGGGAGGCAGCAGUGAGGAAUAUUGGUCAAUGGCCGGAAGGCUGAACCAGCCAUGCCGCGUGAAGGUCAGUGCCCUAUGGGCGUUACACUUCUUUUGUGCGGGAGCAAUAAUGGUCACGUGUGGCCAGACGAGAGUACCGUACGAAUAAGCAUCGGCUAAUUCCGUGACAGCAGCCGCGGUAAUACGGAAGGUCCGGGCGUUAUCCGGAGUUAUUGGGUUUAAAGGGAGCGUAGGCCGCAUGUCAAGCGUGCUGUGAAAUGUCCGGGCUCAACCCGGGCCUUGCAGCGCGAACUGGGGUGCUUGAGUCCGCGGAAAGCAGGCGGAAUUCGUCGUGUAGCGGUGAAAUGCUUAGAUAUGACGAAGAACCCCGAUUGCGAAGGCAGCUUGCUGCAGCGGAACUGACGCUGAUGCUCGAAAGCGCGGGCAUCGAACAGGAUUAGAUACCCUUGUAGUC
Molecule: ribosomal RNA, 459 nt
Filed under: uncultured bacterium
Lineage: Bacteria
Description: partial 16S ribosomal RNA
Rfam family: Bacterial small subunit ribosomal RNA
Source: RNAcentral